RNAcentral lists this ribosomal RNA (496 nucleotides) under uncultured bacterium. RNAcentral describes it as "partial 16S ribosomal RNA". It matches the Rfam family "Bacterial small subunit ribosomal RNA", at positions 28 to 507 of the family's 1533-position model. The record is from RNAcentral.
GAUGAACGCUGGCGGCGUGCCUAAUACAUGCCAGUCGAGCGAACGGACGAGAAGCUUGCUUCUCUGAUGUUAGCGGCGGACGGGUGAGUAACACGUGGAUAACCUACCUAUAAGACUGGGAUAACUUCGGGAAACCGGAGCUAAUACCGGAUAAUAUUUUGAACCGCAUGGUUCAAAAGUGAAAGACGGUCUUGCUGUCACUUAUAGAUGGAUCCGCGCUGCAUUAGCUAGUUGGUAAGGUAACGGCUUACCAAGGCAACGAUGCAUAGCCGACCUGAGAGGGGAUCGGCCACACUGGAACUGAGACACGGUCCAGACUCCUACGGGAGGCAGCAGUAGGGAAUCUUCCGCAAUGGGCGAAAGCCUGACGGAGCAACGCCGCGUGAGUGAUGAAGGUCUUCGGAUCGUAAAACUCUGUUAUUAGGGAAGAACAUAUGUGUAAGUAACUGUGCACAUCUUGACGGUACCUAAUCAGAAAGCCACGGCUAACUACGUG